AACUUUUGAGAACGGAUCACUUGGCUCUCGCAUCGAUGAAGAACGCAGCGAAAUGCGAUACGUAAUGUGAAUUGCAGAAUUCAGUGAAUCAUCGAAUCUUUGAACGCACCUUGCGCCCCUUGGUAUUUCGAGGGGCACACCCGUUUGAGUGUCGUGAAUACUCUCAACCUUCUUGGUUUCUUUGACCACGAAGGCUUGGACUUUGGAGGUUUUUCUUGCUGGCCUCUUUAGAAGCCAGCUCCUCCUAAAUGAAUGGGUGGGGUCCGCUUUGCUGAUCCUCGACGUGAUAAGCAUUUCUUCUACGUCUCAGUGUCAGCUCGGAACCCGCUUUCCAACCGUCUUUGGACAAAGACAAUGUUCGAGUUGCGACUCGACCUUACAAACCUUGACCUCAAAUCGGGUGAGACUACCCGCUGAACUUAAGCAUAUCAAUAAGCGGAGGCU
Molecule: unclassified non-coding RNA, 444 nt
Filed under: uncultured Russula
Lineage: Eukaryota; Fungi; Basidiomycota; Agaricomycetes; Russulales; Russulaceae
Description: sequence contains ITS2
Rfam family: 5.8S ribosomal RNA (bases 1-154)
Source: RNAcentral